RNAcentral lists this ribosomal RNA (439 nucleotides) under uncultured bacterium. RNAcentral describes it as "partial 16S ribosomal RNA". It matches the Rfam family "Bacterial small subunit ribosomal RNA", at positions 339 to 795 of the family's 1533-position model. The record is from RNAcentral.
CUACGGGCGGCUGCAGUGAGGAAUAUUGCACAACGGGGGGAACCCUGAUGCAGCAACGCCGCGUGGAGGAUGACGCAUUUCGGUGUGUAAACUCCUUUUAUAUGUCAAGAAAAUGACGGUAGCAUAUGAAUAAGCACCGGCUAACUCCGUGCCAGCAGCCGCGGUAAUACGGAGGGUGCAAGCGUUACUCGGAAUCCCUGGGCGUAAAGGACGCGUAGGCGGGUUGGAAAGUCAGGUGUGAAAUCCUACAGCUUAACUGUAGAACUGCACUUGAAACUUCUAAUCUAGAGUAUGGGAGGGGGAGAUGGAAUUAGAGGUGUAGGGGUAAAAUCCGUAGAUAUCACUAGGAAUACCUAAAGCGAAGGCGAUCUCCUGGAACAUUACUGACGCUAAGGCGUGAAAGCGUGGGGAGCAAACAGGAUUAGAUACCCUUGUAGUC